GACGAACGCUGGCGGCGUGCUUAACACAUGCAAGUCGAACGGUAAGGCCCUUCGGGGUACACGAGUGGCGAACGGGUGAGUAACACGUGGGUGAUCUGCCCUGCACUUCGGGAUAAGCCUGGGAAACUGGGUCUAAUACCGGAUAGGACCACUGCCCGCAUGGGUGGUGGUGGAAAGCUUUUGCGGUGUGGGAUGGGCCCGCGGCCUAUCAGCUUGUUGGGGGGGUGAUGGCCUACCAAGGAGACGACGCGUAGCCGGCCUGAGAGGGUGACCGGCCACACUGGGACUGAGAUACGGCCCAGACUCCUACGGGAGGCAGCAGUGGGGAAUAUUGCACAAUGGGCGCAAGCCUGAUGCAGCGACGCCGCGUGAGGGAUGACGGCCUUCGGGUUGUAAACCUCUUUCAGCACCGACGAAGCGCAAGUGACGAUAGGUGCAGAAGAAGGACCGGCCAACUACGUGCCAGCCGCCGCCGUAA
Molecule: ribosomal RNA, 478 nt
Filed under: uncultured bacterium
Lineage: Bacteria
Description: partial 16S ribosomal RNA
Rfam family: Bacterial small subunit ribosomal RNA
Source: RNAcentral